UACGGGGGGGGCAAGCGUUGUUCGGAAUUACUGGGCGUAAAGGGCUCGUAGGUGGCCAACUAAGUCAGACGUGAAAUCCCUCGGCUUAACCGGGGAACUGCGUCUGAUACUGGAUGGCUUGAGUUUGGGAGAGGGAUGCGGAAUUCCAGGUGUAGCGGUGAAAUGCGUAGAUAUCAGGAGGAACACCGGUGGCGAAGGCGGUUCUCUGGGCAUUACCUGACGCUGAGGAGCGAAAGUGUGGGGAGCGAACAGG
Molecule: ribosomal RNA, 253 nt
Filed under: uncultured bacterium
Lineage: Bacteria
Description: partial 16S ribosomal RNA
Rfam family: Bacterial small subunit ribosomal RNA
Source: RNAcentral